CCGAGCGUCGCGGGCCCCUUUGGACCGCGUCCUCCCCAUCCAUUGCUCGAAACCCCAACCUUGCUUCGGCCGCUCCGGCGGCCGGAAUUUCAACCCUGGAAACGGUGUAUAUCCGAGCGGCGAGAGCCGAACUCAGUA
This 138-nucleotide unclassified non-coding RNA is filed under the name uncultured fungus. RNAcentral's name for it is "sequence contains ITS1". Lineage: Eukaryota; Fungi. The record is from RNAcentral.